CGUCCUGAGCCCAGCCUGUGCUGACCCAGCCACCUGCAGUGCAUGCAUCUGUGGGGCAGGUGGGUACCAGCUCCUGCACUAGAAGCAGCAGCAAUGUUGGGCACGGGCAUGUGCUCUGGUACAAACAUGCCUCCGAGAGACCCAGAGCUCCACAUAUAUAAAAGCAGUCAUUGACCCUUAGGGGCAUAGGCCCAAUGCUGAGGCUCCAGGUUGGAGAACAUGGCCUCUCUGAGCAUCUCUGGACUCCAGGCAGAGGAAAAGGCUGAUUUUUAUUCUCAGCUUGGGACACAAGCACCAAGGCUCA
Molecule: non-coding RNA, 304 nt
Organism: Homo sapiens (human)
Lineage: Eukaryota; Metazoa; Chordata; Mammalia; Primates; Hominidae
Source: the annotation of a RefSeq genome assembly